Molecule: ribosomal RNA, 253 nt
Filed under: uncultured bacterium
Lineage: Bacteria
Description: partial 16S ribosomal RNA
Rfam family: Bacterial small subunit ribosomal RNA
Source: RNAcentral
UACGUAGGCAGCAAGCGUUGUUCGGAUUCAUUGGGCGUAAAGGGUGCGUAGGCGGCGCGGUAAGUCGGGUGUGAAAUCUUGGAGCUUAACUCCGAAACUGCAUUCGAUACUGCCGUGCUUGAGGACUGGAGAGGAGACUGGAAUUUACGGUGUAGCGGUGAAAUGCGUAGAUAUCGUAAGGAAGACCAGUGGCGAAGGCGGGUCUCUGGACAGUUCCUGACGCUGAGGCACGAAGGCCAGGGGAGCAAACGGG